CCCUUAGAUGUUCUGGGCCGCACGCGUGCUACACUGAUACGUUCAACGAGCUAUUCGACCUGGGCCGAAAGGUCUGGGGAAUCUUUUGAAAUCGUAUCGUGUUGGGGCUUGACGAUUGUAAUUAUUUGUCACAAACGAGGAAUUCCUAGUAAACGCAAGUCAUCAGCUUGCAUUGAUUACGUCCCUGCCCUUUGUACACACCGCCCGUCGCUCCUACCGAUUGAAUGUUCCGGUGAACCCUCGGGAGCCGUGGUUUGGUCUGGGGCAACUCAGCCUUACCAAUGGUGAACUUGUGUAAACCUUAACAUUUAGAGGAAGGAGAAGUCGUAACA
Molecule: ribosomal RNA, 332 nt
Filed under: uncultured eukaryote
Lineage: Eukaryota
Description: partial 18S ribosomal RNA
Rfam family: Eukaryotic small subunit ribosomal RNA
Source: RNAcentral